This is a long non-coding RNA of Mizuhopecten yessoensis (Yesso scallop), 108 nucleotides long. RefSeq lists it as uncharacterized. The transcript has 3 exons. NCBI's taxonomy places the organism in Eukaryota, Metazoa, Mollusca, Bivalvia, Pectinida, Pectinidae. The record is from RefSeq and is a predicted model, not a curated record.
GUACACUUGGGGCUACAACUAUAGGAUAUACUACUGUCUGUACACUGGGGGCUACAACUAUAGGAUAUACUACUGUCUGUACACUGGGGGCUACAACUAUAGGUUAUA